RNAcentral lists this ribosomal RNA (464 nucleotides) under uncultured bacterium. RNAcentral's name for it is "partial 16S ribosomal RNA". It matches the Rfam family "Bacterial small subunit ribosomal RNA", at positions 28 to 507 of the family's 1533-position model. The record is from RNAcentral.
GACGAACGCUGGCGGCGUGCUUAACACAUGUAAGUCGAACGGAAAGGCCCUGCUUGCAGGGUACUCGAGUGGCGAACGGGUGAGUAACACGUGGGUGAUCUGCCCUGCACUUCGGGAUAAGCCUGGGAAACUGGGUCUAAUACCGGAUAGGAGCCAUUUUUAGUGUGAUGGUUGGAAAGUUUUUUCGGUGUAGGAUGAGCUCGCGGCCUAUCAGCUUGUUGGUGGGGUAAUGGCCUACCAAGGCGGCGACGGGUAGCCGGCCUGAGAGGGUGGACGGCCACAUUGGGACUGAGAUACGGCCCAGACUCCUACGGGAGGCAGCAGUGGGGAAUAUUGCACAAUGGGCGCAAGCCUGAUGCAGCGACGCCGCGUGGGGGAUGACGGCCUUCGGGUUGUAAACUCCUUUCGCUAGGGACGAAGCUUUUGUGACGGUACCUAGAUAAGAAGCACCGGCUAACUACGUG